This 74-nucleotide transfer RNA is filed under the name bacterium. Its description in RNAcentral is "tRNA-Arg". It matches the Rfam family "tRNA". Rfam says of the family: Transfer RNA (tRNA) molecules are approximately 80 nucleotides in length. Their secondary structure includes four short double-helical elements and three loops (D, anti-codon, and T loops). The record is from RNAcentral. RNAcentral also lists the same sequence under 1 other name.
GGGCUAUUAGCUCAGUUGGAUAGAGCGUUGGCCUCCGGAGCCAAAGGCCACAGGUUCGAAUCCUGUAUAGCCCG